UUUUGAUCUUCAUUUGCUUGAUCAACAAGUGUUCUUAUCUUCACAAAUCUCCACCUAAGAACAUGUUGAUCAACCCAAACAACUUGCACAUACUUGAGAGAGAGAGUUUCUUCUUCUAGCUUCUUGGAUUCCAGUCUCGGCUUCUGAGUAUCACUACUCAUCCUUGAUCCUUAGCAGCUUUAAAGACCAUAAACCUGCUUGAUCCUUGCAGCAUUCAACAUCUUGUUCAAUGCACAUCAGCUGUGAAAAUUCACCUUGCCGAACCUGAGCCAUCAGAACAUCUUCAUGUCACUUGAGUUGUGAAAACCAGCUCUAACACAAAUCUGUAUUAAGCUCAACUCAUCAGUGACUUUUCCUAGCACCUGCAGCACCUGAAUAUCUGAUAUAAAGCUCAAUAAACUCCAGUACCAAGCUUAGAAAACGUCCAGCUUGUUACUCCAACAGAAAACUCCAUAAGCUUUAUCACUUAUGACUUCUCAAAUCACACAAUAACUUCCAUGGCUUCUGUCCAAACCAUAAGUAUACUUCAGUGACUGAGAAAAUACCAACACCACCUCUGCAAAGCUUUGAUUCAUUUGCUAGCUUCUAGGAUUUUCUCAUGCGCAUUGAGAUCAAAACCCUUUGAAUUCAUUUAAAUCAAAUGCAGAAAACCAGAAUCAUCUUAGCUUCUAGCUUGAAGCUUCUUGAUUCAACUUGCAGUCAAUCUCACCAAUAGCUUACACUAUCUGAGAUUCACAUCUUCAACCUGUUUAACCAAGCAAUCCCAGAACAGAACCCUGCUCCACCAUCUUGUUAAAACAGAACACACUAACAGCUUGAAAAAACCCACUACUAGCAACCUUGCAUAUGUCUCUUAUCAACAACUUCUUGUGACAUCCCUGAGACACGUCCAUACAAUAGCUUACAUAUCAAUUCUAAAACCCUUGAUGUUUCUUUCAAGUUGUAAAGAACAACCUGCAAUACUUCUUCUUGUAUGCAGCCUCCACCAAAACAAAUCCGGUUCUUGCAUUAUUCAGUUUGCAGUCAUUAACCGACAUUCUUCUUCCUGAAUAUCAUUAACUUUACUUGUCUGCAACUGACUUCCCAUGAGUAGACACUUAUGUAGACUCCUCAUGAUGCAACUAAGACAACUUCACGCUCCUGAGUUGUUGUCUUUCUAAUGCAGCUUGAUCUCUGCAUUCUUCAUCCUUUCAGGACUUCUUUUUCAGGUUCUGACACUUCACUUGAGAUGAAUUAUCCAUCAGACUUGAUACACGACACCUUCACAUUCUUGAAGUGAGCAUCCUUGACACAUAACCAUGUAUCAUCUGCACUUGUCUACUUCAGUUUCUUCUUUAUAGAACUCACUGAAAAAAAAAAAACUACUUCAAUUGCUUCAUCUCACAACACAGCUUUGUGUCUUUUCUCUGAAAAACUUUCAGAAACCUGCAACCCACUUGUAGAAACCUGCAACUCUGUUUCUCUAAGCCUGCAACUCGUUUCUGAUUAUCCUGAUCAACACCCAGCUUCAAAUCAAAUCUGAAAACAACCUGUUACCAUCAGAUUAUAGCCUUUCUUGAGCUGAAUACCAGUUGACACACCAUCAGUUCUUCACUUGUUUUCUUCUUUGCACAAAGAACUUCAAUGAAUCUAAUACAACAGCGAGAUGCUUAACCCUUUAACUCUUUUAUCUUCAGCUAAACACUUGAGAAAACCUCCAAAUAUAGCUCCACCAGGAAUAGAAAAAAUAUCAUUUAAGAUAUGCAUUGCUCUUCUUGUAGCAAUAAUGUUCCACCUGAAACUAUAACCACUUGGACAUACUCUGUCUCUAUCUCAGCUUCACAAUCAGAGUUAAAACCACUCUUUCAUGUAUCUUUGAUCCACAAACACAUUCUUAUGUAUCAGAUUGAGUCACAAUGACUUCUUGCUUGAGAAAGUGUGCCAAAACCUGUGACACAUCUUCUUCCUUCUUGCAGCCCAACUGAUCCAUUUGCAACCAGAAAACCCUCAAGAACUUUCUUUCUUCCAGCAGUACUGUCUCUUAAAGCAUUCUUCAUGUUGUGAUGAUGUUACAACUUAGGCUGAUACAUCAACAAACCAUGCUUCUAUAAAUCUUGUACUCUCUUGUCGCCAAAAAUACAACCAUACUUGUCUUGUACCGCUGUUGAUAAACAGGACACGCCGCCUAACUCCUCUAGCUAGGAAGACUUUCGAUACCAGAUUGUAUCAUGUUGCAUAAAAAAUGCAUUCAAAGACAAUCCUCAUGAGUCAUGAUGUCUCCAAUGCCUUCAGCUUCUAGACCACCAGAAUCUUCUUCAACCUCUGAAGAUCUGAUUCAAAUACAAGAUAACCUUCUGAGAAAACAAUGCUCCACCUGAGAUAGUACUCCUUAUUCACCAAGAUUCAAUCCAGCAGAAAACUCCAUGUGUUACACCAAACACAAAUUUUCUUAAGAAACAUGAAUCUUCGCUACUUCCAUCUUGUCAAGAGCUUACACUACUUGAAACAAGAACUCGAACAAUCCUCUGUAUACACUCAAGCUCACAAGAGCUCAACCUUCAUUGCAUCCCUCUGAAAAUAGCAAUGAAACUGAGUGUUACACCUUAUGUUCACCAUAACAUUUUCAGACCGCUACAAGAGCUUAAUCAUCAUUGCAUUCCCUCUAAAAAUAGCAAUCAUGUAGCUUCAUGUUCUCUGAUGAAACACCGCCUGUAGACUGUCAUAUUCACAAGAACUGAUAGCUAACACCCUGAGAUAAAACCUGCAGCAAGAAACCCCAUCCAAAACUCAAAAGCCACUGAAAUUUCCAUAAAUGAUUCUGUUUUGAUCAAACCGAAAACAUUGCUCCAUAACCUUCUGCAACUCCUUGUAGACAACCGAGAAUACCAUUACUGAUACUCAGAACAUCCAUAAAACACUCAUCAAGUCCAGGUUUUAGACGUCCUUGAACUUCUGAGUUUCCAGGCUGGAAAAAACUCAAACACCAAUUGUAGCUGACUUCCACAAACUGAUUUAACCAAAGAUUACCCAGAAAACCAUCACUGUAUCUUGGCCAAUCCCAUGCAAAACCAGUACAAAAUCAUUGUGUUCCAACAAGCUUCCAAUCCCAGUAGCUAUGCAGAACUUGAGCAAACUUGAAACUUCAACACAGAGCAUCACAAAUGCCUUGUGACUGCAGCGGAACCAGACUUUAUAAGUCUCAGAAAACUAGAGUCUUGAAGUUGAUGUUCGGUUUUGAUAUAAACCAUUGAGUAACAGAACGUGUACUCAUCCUUUCAUAACCCCAAAACCAGCUGAUAUCUCUGAAAUACCUUCAGCUUAUACCAAUCUUCCAUUAGUUUCUUCAGCAUUGACCAAGAACUCUCUUCUUGUAUCAUGUGCUUCUUGCUUCUAUCUCUGAUAAUUUUCUUCUGCUUGCAACACUCCAGCUUGUGAGUAUUCUGUCAUCCUUCUCUCAAUGUUGCAGCUUCAUGUAUCUUAGAGGCCUCUUGAUUUCAUAGCCCCUGAAAUCACCUCAACUGAUUCACACUUUCACCAUGAAUUACUCCUUAAGAUACAACUUCUUCACAUCUCAUCUUCACACCAUAACCUGAGCUAAACCGGUUUUAUAACCACUUGAGCUUCUCAAGAACCUUAUGUUACUCCACCUAAGAUCUAACUGGAUCCUUGAUUGAGUAGAGAUAACCUCUUACCAAAACUGUCUCUGUUUCUGAAACAGAAAACUGCAUUUUCAACAGAAAAAUCUGCAACUUCUUUGGUUCUUCUUGUUCUUCAAGAUGUGUGAAUGAGAUGCUUCCAUGUACACCAGAAUGAGCCUUAUAACUCCUUCCUCUCACGUGCUGUUCACCAAUAGACAGCUUGUCUUUCAGCCUGAGACAUUCAAGUCUCCAUACCUUCCUCAAAACCUGAGAAAUACCAUGAUGCUUCACCAAGAAAGAGUCUUAUGGCUUAUUCCUCUCUUUAGCAUCAUUUACCAAGAGCUACUGCUUUGUUGUUCCUCCUGAGACAUCACUUGUCUCUACAAAACCAGCUCUCCAAGAAAAGGACGUGGCUUCUUAACAGGAAAAGGAGCCUUGCUGCUCCAACUUUCCAAAGAUCCAACCUUUCUCACUUUUCUUCACUCUCCUCCUUUCUCUAGAUCUUCUCUCCUUUAGAUCUGAAUCUUCUUUCUCUCUUUCUUCUGGAUCUGAGACUUUCUCUCUUGAAAUCUCAGUGAUCUCCAAAGCUUCACUCAUGCUUAGAAUCUCCUCAUAACCCAUGAGUUUCUCCUUCCAUAAAACACAGCUUCCAUAACCUUCGAAGCUUCCACUUCUCUUCUUGACAAAAAACAUGAUUCUUGACUUGAGAACCAUAAAACACAGAACCAAGGCUCUGAUACCACUUUGUUAGGAUUCAGAGGCUUAAAGACAUCACUUUGUCUCAGCAUAAACCCACAACAAACCAAGAUAGAAGUUGCUGGAAGUCCAAAAUAGAGACUGCAUAAAACAGAGUUGUAGAGAGUAUGAAGAAGAGAAUAGAGAGAAGGAGAAGAUGGGAGCACACACACAAUUUAAGGAGUUCGCGCCCGUUAACGAGGGUCACUACAUCUCCCCGAGACUACAGCUCGGAAUCCACUAGAAGGUAUAACAUAGUUACAAAGAUACAAGUGAUUCACUCAUCAUAUCACUCAUGAACUCACUCUAAUGUAUCUUACUAUGCUCUAAUGAGAAAACCCAAAGCUAGGCUUAAGCUCACAUGUUUCUCUCACCCUUCUAAGCUCUUUGUGUGGCUCAAUCUCUCUCUCACGUUCUCAGCCUCCCUUUAUAGUGGAGACACCUUCAAACCUAAUGCACAAGAGGACAAAAUGGAGAGGCUCCUCCUUGUGGUCCCAAAAGUAACUUAACCCAUCUUCAACUCACCAUACUAACUUGAGUUAAGCCUUGGAUUACUUUUGAUCUUCAUUUGCUUGAUCAACAAGUGUUCUUAUCUUCACAAAUCUCCACCUAAGAACAUGUUGAUCAACCCAAACAACUUGCACAUACUUGAGAGAGAGAGUUUCUUCUUCUAGCUUCUUGGAUUCCAGUCUCGGCUUCUGAGUAUCACUACUCAUCCUUGAUCCUUAGCAGCUUCAAAGGUUUCAGAGGCUUAAAGACAUCACUUUGUCUCAGCAUAAACCCACAACAAACCAAGAUAGAAGUUGCUUGAAGUCCAAAAAUAGAAUGCUGUAAAAAACAUAGUUGUAGAGAGUAUGAAGAAGAGAAUAGAGAGAAGGAGAAGAUGGGAGCACACACACAAUUUAAGGAGUUCGCGCCCGUUAACGAGGGUCACUACAUCUCCCCGAGACUACAGCUCGGAAUCCACUAGAAGGUAUAACAUAGUUACAAAGAUACAAGUGAUUCACUCAUCAUAUCACUCAUGAACUCACUCUAAUGUAUCUUACUAUGCUCUAAUGAGAAAACCCAAAGCUAGGCUUAAGCUCACAUGUUUCUCUCACCCUUCUAAGUUCUUUGUGUGGCUCAAUCUCUCUCUCACGUUCUCAGCCUCCCUUUAUAGUAGAGACAUCUUUAAACCUAAUACACAAGAGGACAAAAUGGAGAGGCUCCUCCUUGUGGUCCCAAAAGUAACUUAACCCAUCUUCAACUCACCAUACUAACUUGAGUUAAGCCUUGGAUUACUUUUGAUCUUCAUUUGCUUGAUAAACAAGUGUUCUCAUCUUCACAAAUCUCCACCUGAGAACAUGUUGAUCAUCCCAAACAACUUGCACAUACUUGAGAGAGAGUUUCUUCUUCUAGCUUCUUGGAUUCCUGUCUCGGCUUCUCAGUAUCACUACUCAUCCUUGAUCCUUAGCAGCUUCAAACACCAUGAACCUGCUUGAUCCUUGCAGCAUUCAACAUCUUGUUCAAUGCACAUCAGCUGUGAAAAUUCACCUUGCCGAACCUGAGCCAUUAGAACAUCUUCAUGUCACUUGAGUUGUGAAAACCAGCUCUAACACAAAUCUAUAUUAGGCUCAACUCAUCAGUGACUUCUCCUGGCACAUGCAGCACCUGAAUAUCUGAUAUAAAGCUCAAUAAACUCCAGUACCAAGCUUAGAAAAC
Molecule: long non-coding RNA, 6053 nt
Filed under: Brassica napus (rape)
Lineage: Eukaryota; Viridiplantae; Streptophyta; Magnoliopsida; Brassicales; Brassicaceae
Description: long non-coding RNA (BNAP_LNC001603)
Source: RNAcentral